This 2921-nucleotide ribosomal RNA is filed under the name Klebsiella pneumoniae. Its description in RNAcentral is "23S ribosomal RNA". It matches the Rfam family "Bacterial large subunit ribosomal RNA". Lineage: Bacteria; Pseudomonadati; Pseudomonadota; Gammaproteobacteria; Enterobacterales; Enterobacteriaceae. The record is from RNAcentral.
GGGUUGUGAGGUUAAGCGACUAAGCGUACACGGUGGAUGCCCUGGCAGUCAGAGGCGAUGAAGGACGUGCUAAUCUGCGAAAAGCGUCGGUAAGGUGAUAUGAACCGUUAUAGCCGGCGAUGUCCGAAUGGGGAAACCCAGUGCAAUUCGUUGCACUAUCGUUAACUGAAUACAUAGGUUAACGAGGCGAACCGGGGGAACUGAAACAUCUAAGUACCCCGAGGAAAAGAAAUCAACCGAGAUUCCCCCAGUAGCGGCGAGCGAACGGGGAGCAGCCCAGAGUCUGAAUCAGCUUGUGUGUUAGUGGAACGGUCUGGAAAGUCCGACGGUACAGGGUGAUAGUCCCGUACACCAAAAUGCACAGGCUGUGAACUCGAAGAGUAGGGCGGGACACGUGGUAUCCUGUCUGAAUAUGGGGGGACCAUCCUCCAAGGCUAAAUACUCCUGACUGACCGAUAGUGAACCAGUACCGUGAGGGAAAGGCGAAAAGAACCCCGGCGAGGGGAGUGAAAAAGAACCUGAAACCGUGUACGUACAAGCAGUGGGAGCACCUUCGGGUGUGACUGCGUACCUUUUGUAUAAUGGGUCAGCGACUUAUAUUCUGUAGCAAGGUUAACCGUAUAGGGAGCCGCAGGGAAACCGAGUCUUAACUGGGCGUUAAGUUGCAGGGUAUAGACCCGAAACCCGGUGAUCUAGCCAUGGGCAGGUUGAAGGUUGGGUAACACUAACUGGAGGACCGAACCGACUAAUGUUGAAAAAUUAGCGGAUGACUUGUGGCUGGGGGUGAAAGGCCAAUCAAACCGGGAGAUAGCUGGUUCUCCCCGAAAGCUAUUUAGGUAGCGCCUCGUGAAUUCAUCUUCGGGGGUAGAGCACUGUUUCGGCUAGGGGGUCAUCCCGACUUACCAACCCGAUGCAAACUACGAAUACCGAAGAAUGUUAUCACGGGAGACACACGGCGGGUGCUAACGUCCGUCGUGAAGAGGGAAACAACCCAGACCGCCAGCUAAGGUCCCAAAGUCAUGGUUAAGUGGGAAACGAUGUGGGAAGGCACAGACAGCCAGGAUGUUGGCUUAGAAGCAGCCAUCAUUUAAAGAAAGCGUAAUAGCUCACUGGUCGAGUCGGCCUGCGCGGAAGAUGUAACGGGGCUAAACCAUGCACCGAAGCUGCGGCAGCGACACUAUGUGUUGUUGGGUAGGGGAGCGUUCUGUAAGCCUGCGAAGGUGUGCUGUGAGGCAUGCUGGAGGUAUCAGAAGUGCGAAUGCUGACAUAAGUAACGAUAAAGCGGGUGAAAAGCCCGCUCGCCGGAAGACCAAGGGUUCCUGUCCAACGUUAAUCGGGGCAGGGUGAGUCGACCCCUAAGGCGAGGCCGAAAGGCGUAGUCGAUGGGAAACAGGUUAAUAUUCCUGUACUUGGUGUUACUGCGAAGGGGGGACGGAGAAGGCUAUGUUAGCCGGGCGACGGUUGUCCCGGUUUAAGCAUGUAGGCUGAUUGUCCAGGCAAAUCCGGAUAAUCAAGGCUGAGGUGUGAUGACGAGGCACUACGGUGCUGAAGUAACAAAUGCCCUGCUUCCAGGAAAAGCCUCUAAGCAUCAGGUAACAUUAAAUCGUACCCCAAACCGACACAGGUGGUCAGGUAGAGAAUACCAAGGCGCUUGAGAGAACUCGGGUGAAGGAACUAGGCAAAAUGGUGCCGUAACUUCGGGAGAAGGCACGCUGGUGUGUAGGUGAAGCCCCUGCGGGUGGAGCUGAGACCAGUCGAAGAUACCAGCUGGCUGCAACUGUUUAUUAAAAACACAGCACUGUGCAAACACGAAAGUGGACGUAUACGGUGUGACGCCUGCCCGGUGCCGGAAGGUUAAUUGAUGGGGUUAUCCGUAAGGAGAAGCUCUUGAUCGAAGCCCCGGUAAACGGCGGCCGUAACUAUAACGGUCCUAAGGUAGCGAAAUUCCUUGUCGGGUAAGUUCCGACCUGCACGAAUGGCGUAAUGAUGGCGGGCUGUCUCCACCCGAGACUCAGUGAAAUUGAACUCGCUGUGAAGAUGCAGUGUACCCGCGGCAAGACGGAAAGACCCCGUGAACCUUUACUAUAGCUUGACACUGAACAUUGAGCCUUGAUGUGUAGGAUAGGUGGGAGGCUUUGAAGCGUGGACGCCAGUCUGCGUGGAGCCAACCUUGAAAUACCACCCUUUAAUGUUUGAUGUUCUAACGUUGGCCCCUGACCGGGGUUGCGGACAGUGUCUGGUGGGUAGUUUGACUGGGGCGGUCUCCUCCCAAAGCGUAACGGAGGAGCACGAAGGUUAGCUAAUCCUGGUCGGACAUCAGGAGGUUAGUGCAAUGGCAUAAGCUAGCUUGACUGCGAGCGUGACGGCGCGAGCAGGUGCGAAAGCAGGUCAUAGUGAUCCGGUGGUUCUGAAUGGAAGGGCCAUCGCUCAACGGAUAAAAGGUACUCCGGGGAUAACAGGCUGAUACCGCCCAAGAGUUCAUAUCGACGGCGGUGUUUGGCACCUCGAUGUCGGCUCAUCACAUCCUGGGGCUGAAGUAGGUCCCAAGGGUAUGGCUGUUCGCCAUUUAAAGUGGUACGCGAGCUGGGUUUAGAACGUCGUGAGACAGUUCGGUCCCUAUCUGCCGUGGGCGCUGGAGAAUUGAGGGGGGCUGCUCCUAGUACGAGAGGACCGGAGUGGACGCAUCACUGGUGUUCGGGUUGUCAUGCCAAUGGCACUGCCCGGUAGCUAAAUGCGGAAGAGAUAAGUGCUGAAAGCAUCUAAGCACGAAACUUGCCCCGAGAUGAGUUCUCCCUGAGACUUUAAGUCUCCUGAAGGAACGUUAAAGACGAUGACGUUGAUAGGCCGGGUGUGUAAGCGCAGCGAUGCGUUGAGCUAACCGGUACUAAUGAACCGUGAGGCUUAACCUUACAACGCCGAAG